Molecule: long non-coding RNA, 384 nt
Filed under: Pogona vitticeps (central bearded dragon)
Lineage: Eukaryota; Metazoa; Chordata; Lepidosauria; Squamata; Agamidae
Description: lncRNA (ENSPVIG00000000478.1)
Source: RNAcentral
UCCCACAACCUCCCAGCCAGCAAGCUUGCUUGCUAGGUAUCCUAGAAACCAUAGUCAACAAAGUCAGUUAAAAAAAACAAAACUCUGCCAGCACAAGAGUUGACAAGGGGGUGAAUCUGCUCUUUCUUAGCUCAGGGCAACAUAAGCAGCUUUGGAAAGAGAUCUCUGUAAGGAUGUCAUCUAAUAUUAGAAGACAAAAGAAAAAUUGCUGAAAGCCAAAAUCCACUUUAGGACGGGGGAAGAGGCAUAAUAUGGCAGCAUUAAAACAUUUUCUCGCCCUUGCAGAAAAAAAAGGUGGUAAGUAACAAUUGUUUCCUUUUUCCUCACAAGGGAGACAUAGAAUUUGAGGGCUGAACUAAGGGGAAUGCCAUUCAUAUAAUUUGC